AUUUCUUCUCACCAACGACCACUGGCGCGACCGCCAAAAUUACCAUCACUAUAACCAUUACCUCAGCCACAACAACAUAGCGCCGCCAACAAAGCCACCACCACCUCAUGACAACCUGUCAAAACCACAACCCACCAAUAUAUUCAUCACCACAACAGAGAAACGGCACCACUUGCCUCUGCAACCACUACUAUCAACAUCAAUCACCACAGCGACCACCACCACCAUUGGUCGCCACAGCGAAUACCACCAUCACUAUCAAUUACCACCGCCACUGCCAUCACCUCACCUCACCACCACAGCCACCAAACAAAAUCGGAUCCAAAGAAUUGAAUACCACCGCACACACCAAUUACCACCACUGAAUCGCUAGCAGAAGAGCAAAGAAAAUAGAAAAAGUGGUUCGGGAUACCACUAUAUCUCUCAAGGCCUGAGAGCGAUUGGGAAGUGGCGCACCUCGAGGCAGCACCAUUCAUUAGCAGAAGAAAAUGGAAUUAAAAGAAAAACUAGUUCAACACAUUAAUGCUGCAACGGUGUGCACAGCGACGUUGCCUGGAGGCGGUGUGUUCUUCUGCCCGCGGAGCUCUCUUGGCGACAGCGUCUGCGAAUGAUGAGAGAAAGAGGAGAUACGGGAGAAGGAUAGGGAUAGGGAUAGGGAGAAUGAAGGGAUUAGAUUUUGAUUGUAAUUAAUUUAAUUUUAUAAUUAUGAUAAAUUAAAAAAUCCGAUUUUUGAAAUACUAAACUUUGCAUAUAAUUUAUGAAAUGAGAUUUUGAAAAGUAGGCUUUUAUGUAAUCUUCAUAAUUUAAAUUUCAUUUUCUAUGGAAUUCUCACCCCAGUCAAACAGGCCCUAAGAUCUUCCCGAACAAGGAGUUUUACUUGUUUAUAGAAUUGUAAUAAAGGUCACUUUUUUACUGAAUUGUCAAAAAUGGAAAAAG
This 936-nucleotide long non-coding RNA is filed under the name Olea europaea subsp. europaea. Lineage: Eukaryota; Viridiplantae; Streptophyta; Magnoliopsida; Lamiales; Oleaceae. The record is from RNAcentral.